UCCAGAACCGCCGCCUUCCGCCCUCUGCCGGCAUCUCCACAAGGCAGCGUGCACGGUGAUAUCCUUCUCUUGUGUUUGUUUUUUUUCUUUUUAUUUAUCUUUGUCUUGUUUAUUGUCUUGAGUUUUUGUUAGUUUUUUGUGUGCUUUCCUUUUUUUCUUUAUGCUUUUUCUUGUUUGCUUGAGGGCAAGCAACGUCUAAGUGUGAGGAGGGGAUGUGUCUUUGUUUUUGUGUGUCUAUGUUGAGUCGUUGUGUUGUCUUGCAUGUUAGUCAAGUGAGUGUUGGUUUGUUAGUUUUGUGUAUGCAUGCUGCCAAGUUGCACUUUGUGAUGAAGUAGAUGACUUGAUACUUUUGGAAUUGAAGAAUUGUGAUUUUAUGGAUGAAUCUUUAUUAGAUGAAAAUUGGGAUGACGAAGAAAGGCAACAAGUGAGUAAAAACCACACAUAAGUGAGAUUUGAGCUUAAUAGCGUAGAGCACUCUCUACUAUAUUCCUUUUUUUAGUGCUUUGAUGUCAUGAUAUUAAGUGUGUCAUAUGUGACAAAUGAUAGAAGGCACUAGGGAAGCCCUUUUGGCCUGCGUUUCAUUGCCUACCCAUACAUGAACCCCUAGUGAGCCAUUUUUGAAGCCUUGACCAUUUUUGUUCUUACUAGUCACUAAAUAAUUAGCCAAGGCAUGUUUUGGACUCUCUCUUUGGCCCAGUGAUGCAUGUCUAAUUUUGAACUUCAUUCCAUUAAUUACUAGAGAAAGUUAAGAUGUGGUUACAUAUGCCGUUUGCCCAAACUGCUGUUUGUGCUAGAUGAUAAGGGUCUGUGAUCCGUUUGGCCAAACAGUGGCAGUGAAUUCAGAUUGGGUUUGGGAGACGAUUUGUGGGGAUAUUUUGUAGAUGAUGAUUGCAUGUUGAUUGAGGAUAUAAAAAAAGGGUGCU
RNAcentral lists this long non-coding RNA (923 nucleotides) under Salvia miltiorrhiza (redroot sage). RNAcentral's name for it is "long non-coding RNA (SMIL_LNC010788)". Lineage: Eukaryota; Viridiplantae; Streptophyta; Magnoliopsida; Lamiales; Lamiaceae. The record is from RNAcentral.